GGAAGGGCCAUAGAGUAGCUUAGCGGUAGAGCAUCUGCUUUGCAUUCAGAAGGCCACAGGUUCGAUCCCUGUCACUUCCA
Molecule: non-coding RNA, 80 nt
Organism: Podarcis lilfordi (Lilford's wall lizard)
Lineage: Eukaryota; Metazoa; Chordata; Lepidosauria; Squamata; Lacertidae
Source: the annotation of a GenBank genome assembly